GACGAACGCUGGCGGCGUGCCUAAUACAUGCAAGUAGAACGCACAGUUUAUACCGUAGCUUGCUACACCAUAGACUGUGAGUUGCGAACGGGUGAGUGACGCGUAGGUAACCUGCCUGGUAGCGGGGGAUAACUAUUGGAAACGAUAGCUAAUACCGCAUAAUAUUGAUUAUUGCAUGAUAAUUGAUUGAAAGAUGCUAUUGCAUCACUACCAGAUGGACCUGCGUUGUAUUAGCUAGUAGGUGAGGUAACGGCUCACCUAGGCGACGAUACAUAGCCGACCUGAGAGGGUGAUCGGCCACACUGGGACUGAGACACGGCCCAGACUCCUACGGGAGGCAGCAGUAGGGAAUCUUCGGCAAUGGACGAAAGUCUGACCGAGCAACGCCGCGUGAGUGAAGAAGGUUUUCGGAUCGUAAAGCUCUGUUGUAAGAGAAGAACGGGUGUGAGAGUGGAAAGUUCACACUGUGACGGUAUCUUACCAGAGAGGGACGGCUAACUACGUG
RNAcentral lists this ribosomal RNA (505 nucleotides) under uncultured bacterium. RNAcentral's name for it is "partial 16S ribosomal RNA". It matches the Rfam family "Bacterial small subunit ribosomal RNA", at positions 28 to 507 of the family's 1533-position model. The record is from RNAcentral.